CGCCGCGGGGGCGCGCUCGACCUGCAUGAGGUAACCACAACCAACUGGGGGACGCAGCCACGCACUUAGAAAAAUCCCGGGCUCCCGGAAGAGCCCGAAAAUCACCCGAUCGCGGACUGUGUCACCA
This 127-nucleotide ribosomal RNA is filed under the name Thamnobryum alopecurum. Its description in RNAcentral is "5.8S ribosomal RNA". The record is from RNAcentral. Lineage: Eukaryota; Viridiplantae; Streptophyta; Bryopsida; Hypnales; Neckeraceae.